This 98-nucleotide transfer RNA is filed under the name Leucoagaricus sp. SymC.cos. It matches the Rfam family "tRNA". From Rfam's summary of the family: Transfer RNA (tRNA) molecules are approximately 80 nucleotides in length. Their secondary structure includes four short double-helical elements and three loops (D, anti-codon, and T loops). Further hydrogen bonds mediate the characteristic L-shaped molecular structure. tRNAs have two regions of fundamental functional importance: the anti-codon, which is responsible for specific mRNA codon recognition, and the 3' end, to which the tRNAs corresponding amino acid is attached (by aminoacyl-tRNA synthetases). tRNAs cope with the degeneracy of the genetic code in two manners: having more than one tRNA (with a specific anti-codon) for a particular amino acid; and 'wobble' base-pairing, i.e. permitting non-standard base-pairing at the 3rd anti-codon position. The record is from Rfam by way of RNAcentral. Lineage: Eukaryota; Fungi; Basidiomycota; Agaricomycetes; Agaricales; Agaricaceae.
GCCACUGUAGCACAAUGGUAGUGCGUUGCUUUCCUAGGGUGCUUGAAAAGGCUGCUUACCCAAGGCAAAGGUUGCGGGUUCGAUCCCCGUCAGUGGUU